This is a long non-coding RNA of Gasterosteus aculeatus aculeatus (three-spined stickleback), 3636 nucleotides long. Lineage: Eukaryota; Metazoa; Chordata; Actinopteri; Perciformes; Gasterosteidae. The record is from Ensembl.
AGAUUCUGACAAUACCCCGGCUGUUCACCUCAGUUUUUUGGCGUUAGCCCCUCGCUAGCCACUCGUCAGCAAGAGGUUAAAGACCAGCGGUGAAACAGCAACAACUAAACACCUUAAUUCGAUGACCCCCAAAAGGCCCGCGGCCGCCUGAUCAGCCGUUCACCGCUCGCUGGAUGACACGCCGGCACCUGCCCAGCGAGUUAGCGUGUUAGCUUGUUAGGUCUUGUCGCCGCUAGUGUGCCACCAGAGGCAAUAGCAGCGGCUCGACCAACAUUGCGAUAAACCGUGUUCUGAUCUAACGUUAGCUUAGGUGGUAUUUUUCAUGGGCACAGGUUGUGUUGGUGUCUCUGGUCUCUGGUUGGUCUCAUUGGUGUUACAAAAUGUUUACGUGUCUCAAGCUGUUGUGUUGUUAAAGAGCGUUUGUUGCGGGUUAUUUAUUGUUGUUAUAACCAUGACUUAAUCAAGUAGUUCCAACCGCUCCACCUUGAGCUAUGAGGUGUAAAAUGAAAUGAAAAAGGCAGGUGCAUGUUAGUAUGACGCUACGGGAAACAUUCAUACCGUAAGUAAAUAAGUAAACCGUAAACCGGUUGAAACGCGGUUUGCCGCACACAGUCCUAUCCGAUGGUUUAAAACACACAUUAGUGUCUUUCAGUAUUGAGCUCUGUAGUUGGACAGUUUCCAUAUAUAUCUAUGUCACAUAAUUCACCUCACAUACUUGAGAAUGCAUCAGGGCUUGCGAUUUUUACAAAUCAUCGUAAUUGGAUCUAAUGAUUGUGUUUUUCCUCCAUCACCAACAGUGCAAUCAAGCAAUCGGCCAGACGCUGAGCACAGCGGCCUCUCGUCAUUGACAGUUCUUCUGGUUUUCCUACUCAAAAGCAAACAACAUACAACACAGUGCUCCGUUGUUUCCACGGAGAUGCUACAAUUAUUAUUCGUAUGAUUAUUAUUUGUUUGCCUAGCUGCAUGUUCCCUUUCUCUGCAGUACGUUGGGACAAGUGGCAAAGAGGCAGCAUGUUAGCUGCUGUGUGAUUGAGUGAGUGACCUUCAAGUCACAAUAAAGCCCAUUAUGUCAUCUUUACGGGAGAUUGUCGCCAUCAUUUCAUACAUUUGCAUCGGACCCUUGGAAUGUCUCUGUUGAAUGUGAGGUUGAGUUUGCUGAUUCAGUAAACGUCUAUUGAGAUUAAAGGUCAGAUCUGGGUUAAGAACUCACACAAAAAAAAAAAAAAGCAAAUGCUAACGGCACAGAGGAGCGAUACUUCCUCCAAAAGCUGCAGACGGGUCUUUCCCUUCGUGUUUCCAGCACAAUUCAGAAGCUUUAUCUUGCCUGAGGCUCAGAGGAGACUUAGACUGACACAUUCCAGCUGCUUCUCCAGCUGCAGACAAAACAACAAACUGCCGACAAACAGAGAUGUGCGAGGGGAUGCAUACUGUGCCCUUAAGGAUUCAUGCCCUGGUCUUGUAGUGGUGCUGCAGUCUCCGUAAUUGUCUGGCCUUUGUGGACUAAUUGCUUGUCUGCUGCACCAUCGCAUGCUUCAAUUGCUGAAAGGAGGACUCACUUAAUGCAAUACAGGGGGUGCUGUCUCCAAGAGCUGCUGGUUGAGGGAAGUCAACAGAGCGUAUAUUACUACUCCUCUAGAGAUGUAUGCAACACUGUCAAAGAGCUUUGGAUUCCGACCGAUUCUGACCGACCACCAACGCUUUUAGCGGCACAAAAGUGCUGCUACCGAUAUCAAUAAUGUUACAGAAAUCUGGUUGUAGAGGACAACUAGGAGGUAUACGUCUUAAAGAAACAUAUAGUAUAGUCACCUGCAUAAAUGCAGAAAUAACAACAACUUUGUUUUUGCCUUGAAGCUGGUAUUUUUGUACAGUUGACGCUAAUACAGAUAUCUACCAAGUCCAAUUACAUCUUGACAGCUUAACUCGAGGACCACUUUAAAGUUCAAAUAUCGUCAAACUACAUGAAAAUAUUAACUAUUAUUUUAAGGGAAUGUUAACAGUAGACGCUCACCUUCGACUGUAUAAACACUCAUUGUUUGUUUGCGUCAACUCGGCAAAAUGGAAACAGCUUAAUUGGAGCAUAUAUGAACUGAUAUGUCACAUUAUUCCCAACACACUUCUUUCUGUCGAAUGCCGACUGUCGACACUGCAGCCCCGCGACUUUCGUGAUAAGGUUACCGUGACAUUUUCCAGAUGGCGGCUGAAAAAAAGCGUCGGAAACAAAACGAUGUCUAAAUGGAUUCCGUCCUGAGCUGCGGGUUUGAUGCUGUGUUAUCGACAGGCUACUUCCCAGAAGGAAUGGGCUUUGCCAGGGGACAGGACUAAUGGAACAAACCAAGAGUUGCAUCCCCCCUGACACCCUAUCUGAGUCUAAACUCGCCUGCUUAGAAACUGCGGCGGCGCCCGGGUGCAGCCGCCUCGCUCCAUCUUUUGGCUUUGCAUCUCUUGCCGCCUCGGGGCUUGGUUGAAAGGUCAAAUCCACAUCAGAUUUCUCUUGUUUGACGUUUUAAAAACCCGACAUUAUUCUCUCUCCACUUCGGCCAAAGUGACACGCGGCAGUGGCUCGACUCACGGAGCUCAGACUCGUGGGGAGACACAAUCCCCGGUGACGUCAAAGCGGUGUAAAUAACUCCUGCAGUGGAUUAGAAGGAGGGAGCUGUUCGUACCGCUUAGACCGAGGCGAAGAAACAAACGCAGCGUGUGACACGUCGAGCGGCUCUUGCGCCGUCGACGCACAGGUCUUCCCGAGGCAACUCGCUCAAGGCUCCGGAUGGGUUUGAGAAACGACAGUGCAACCGGCUGGAAGGUAAUCUCGCAAGCCGAUGAGGACGUCUCAGUGUGGGGGAGACAAAGACACGGGACACAGCGGUGCAGAAACAUCAAAGUGCUGAAGAUCAAGUAAUCUCAAUCAAUACCUUUCCUCAGAGGAGAAAGGGAGCAACACAUUUGGAGCCAGAGACGGAUAAAGAUUCAACAUAGAGCGUCUUGGCCGGAUCGGGAUUUUGAUGGGCUGUCACACAACAGCGGCGGCCCCCUAACCUUGGCGGCGUGAGGGCGGUGCUCCAUCCAUUGAGCCACACAGUAAUAAAACCCUUAAUCCUGCCGGUUUUAGUGUAUCUCUCCUCGACUGAGCUUCAGAGGACAUGGGAUACCCGAGCCUGGGAGCACUCAGACGUCUUGGCAAGCAGGAGGAGAUGCGGCAGAAAGUGAGAUGACAAAGUGACGUCCAAGGACAACCGACAAAAAAAAACCUAAAUAUUCUUGUCCUUAAACAGCAAAAGUGGAGAUGUCUGUCACAGUUUGAUGACUUUGAUGGAGUAGAGACGGGGCGCCCUUGAGGUUUGAAGAUACUGUGCUGUAGUUAGAAAGUCACGGGUUUAAUCCAUCAGUGGCAAACUCAUCCACUGACACCUAUUGGUUCCUUUAGAAAACUCUUUUGUUACGUUCUGCAUGCACAGAGCACGCUGGCUAUCGACCGUUCUCCAGCUAAGGUCUAAUGUGGAUUCAAGCUAUUUAAAAGUAACCUCGCUCUUAUUGAGUAUCCCAGAAGCUUAACAAAAUACUGCAUGUGUCUUUCACUUGUACCCUCUACAUUUCACUAAGCAAGGUGGCUUUAAUUAGCAAAAUAAACAAUUACCC